UACGUAGGGUGCGAGCGUUAAUCGGAAUUACUGGGCGUAAAGCGUGCGCAGGCGGUUUUGUAAGCCAGAUGUGAAAGCCCCGGGCUUAACCUGGGAAUGGCAUUUGGGACUGCAAGGCUUGAGUGCGGCAGAGGAGACUGGAAUUCCUGGUGUAGCAGUGAAAUGCGUAGAGAUGUGGAGGAACACCAGUGGCGAAGGCGGCUUUCUGGUCUGUAACUGACGCUGAGGCGCGAAAGCGUGGGGAGCAAACAGG
RNAcentral lists this ribosomal RNA (253 nucleotides) under uncultured bacterium. RNAcentral describes it as "partial 16S ribosomal RNA". It matches the Rfam family "Bacterial small subunit ribosomal RNA", at positions 524 to 776 of the family's 1533-position model. The record is from RNAcentral.